AAUGUUGUUAUAAAAACAUUCCCUAGCUUCAAGAACAUGGCUUGUCUUAUGUCCGAGGUUGUGCAUUUCAUCACGGCUUCUCCCCCGCAAUCGGCGUGUUUGGGACUGAUGGGUUGGACAUAGAUGACAACAUUAUCCACUUUACAGUAGGAGAAGGUAUAAGAAUAUGGGGAGAUGCCAACAGAGUACGGGGAAAUUUGGUUACACUUUCAAUCUGGCCAGGAACCUACCAGAACAGAAAAGACUUGAGCUCAACACUUUGGCAUGCGGCCAUUGAGGUAGGGAG
Molecule: long non-coding RNA, 286 nt
Filed under: Cricetulus griseus (Chinese hamster)
Lineage: Eukaryota; Metazoa; Chordata; Mammalia; Rodentia; Cricetidae
Description: lncRNA (ENSCGRG00000024940.1)
Source: RNAcentral